RNAcentral lists this ribosomal RNA (427 nucleotides) under uncultured bacterium. RNAcentral's name for it is "partial 16S ribosomal RNA". It matches the Rfam family "Bacterial small subunit ribosomal RNA", at positions 355 to 774 of the family's 1533-position model. The record is from RNAcentral.
UGGGGAAUAUUGCACAAUGGGCGCAAGCCUGAUGCAGCCAUGCCGCGUGUAUGAAGAAGGCCUUCGGGUUGUAAAGUGCUUUCAGCGGGGAGGAAGGUGUUGUGGUUAAUAACCACAGCAAUUGACGUUACCCGCAGAAGAAGCACCGGCUAACUCCGUGCCAGCAGCCGCGGUAAUACGGAGGGUGCAAGCGGUAAUCGGAAUUACUGGGCGUAAAGCGCACGCAGGCGGUCUGUCAAGUCGGAUGUGAAAUCCCCGGGCUCAACCUGGGAACUGCAUCCGAAACUGGCAGGCUUGAGUCUUGUAGAGGGGGGUAGAAUUCCAGGUGUAGCGGUGAAAUGCGUAGAGAUCUGGAGGAAUACCGGUGGCGAAGGCGGCCCCCUGGACAAAGACUGACGCUCAGGUGCGAAAGCGUGGGGAGCAAACA